This 84-nucleotide ribosomal RNA is filed under the name Chelonoidis abingdonii (Abingdon island giant tortoise). The record is from RNAcentral. Lineage: Eukaryota; Metazoa; Chordata; Testudines; Testudinidae.
UCUUCCAACACAGCUUUCAGCAGAGUUAGAUUGAGUCAGUACUUGGAUAGGAGACUUCCAAAGAACCCAUAGAUAUUGCAAGAA